This 121-nucleotide small nuclear RNA is filed under the name Zostera marina. Its description in RNAcentral is "U5 spliceosomal RNA". It matches the Rfam family "U5 spliceosomal RNA". Rfam says of the family: U5 RNA is a component of both types of known spliceosome. The precise function of this molecule is unknown, though it is known that the 5' loop is required for splice site selection and p220 binding, and that both the 3' stem-loop and the Sm site are important for Sm protein binding and cap methylation. The record is from Rfam by way of RNAcentral. Lineage: Eukaryota; Viridiplantae; Streptophyta; Magnoliopsida; Alismatales; Zosteraceae.
UGACUUCGUGUAAAAUUUAUCAGAGUGAACUAUUCUUUCGCCUUUUACUUAAGAGUACCGUGUGUUCGUCACGCUAUAAUGGUAUAAUCUAAUUUUUUUUGGGUUUAAAUUUUUUAAGUUA